RNAcentral lists this ribosomal RNA (1032 nucleotides) under uncultured bacterium. RNAcentral describes it as "bacterial SSU rRNA". It matches the Rfam family "Bacterial small subunit ribosomal RNA", at positions 78 to 1116 of the family's 1533-position model. The record is from RNAcentral.
GCUUGCUUGGUGGAUCAGUGGCGAACGGGUGAGUAACACGUGAGCAACCUGCCCUGGACUCUGGGAUAAGCGCUGGAAACGGCGUCUAAUACUGGAUAUGAGCUCUCAUCGCAUGGUGGGGGUUGGAAAGACUUUUUCGGUUUGGGAUGGGCUCGCGGCCUAUCAGCUUGUUGGUGAGGUAAUGGCUCACCAAGGCGUCGACGGGUAGCCGGCCUGAGAGGGUGACCGGCCACACUGGGACUGAGACACGGCCCAGACUCCUACGGGAGGCAGCAGUGGGGAAUAUUGCACAAUGGGCGCAAGCCUGAUGCAGCAACGCCGCGUGAGGGAUGACGGCCUUCGGGUUGUAAACCUCUUUUGGUAGGGAAGAAGCCUUCGGGUGACGGUACCUGCAGAAAAAGCGCCGGCUAACUACGUGCCAGCAGCCGCGGUAAUACGUAGGGCGCAAGCGUUAUCCGGAAUUAUUGGGCGUAAAGAGCUCGUAGGCGGUCUGUCGCGUCUGCUGUGAAAUUCCGAGGCUCAACCUCGGGCUUGCAGUGGGUACGGGCAGACUAGAGUGCGGUAGGGGAGAUUGGAAUUCCUGGUGUAGCGGUGGAAUGCGCAGAUAUCAGGAGGAACACCGAUGGCGAAGGCAGAUCUCUGGGCCGUUACUGACGCUGAGGAGCGAAAGGGUGGGGAGCAAACAGGCUUAGAUACCCUGGUAGUCCACCCCGUAAACGUUGGGAACUAGUUGUGGGGUCCUUUCCACGGAUUCCGUGACGUAGCUAACGCAUUAAGUUCCCCGCCUGGGGGAGUACGGCCGCAAGGCUAAAACUCAAAGGAAUUGACGGGGACCCGCACAAGCGGCGGAGCAUGCGGAUUAAUUCGAUGCAACGCGAAGAACCUUACCAAGGCUUGACAUACACCAGAACGGGCCAGAAAUGGUCAACUCUUUGGACACUGGUGAACAGGUGGGGGCAUGGUUGUCGUCAGCUCGUGUCGUGAGAAGGUUGGGGUUAAGUCCCGCAACGAGCGCAACCCUCGUUCUAUGUU